UUCGUAGGCGGUGCGGCAAGUUGGGAGUGAAAUCUCUGGGCUCAACCCAGAGGCUGCUUCCAAAACUGCUGUGCUCGAGUGUGGGAGAGGCGCGUGGAAUUGCAGGUGUAGCGGUGAAAUGCGUAGAUAUCUGCAGGAACACCCGUGGCGAAAGCGGCGCGCUGGACCACUACUGACGCUGAGGAACGAAAGCUAGGGGAGCAAACAGGAUUAGAUACCCUGGUAGUCCUAGCCCUAAACGAUCAGGACUUGGGGUGGCACCCGUUCGGGUGUCGUCCCGGAGCUAACGCGUUAAGUCCUGCACCUGGGGAGUACGGUCGCAAGACUGAA
RNAcentral lists this ribosomal RNA (330 nucleotides) under uncultured bacterium. Its description in RNAcentral is "bacterial SSU rRNA". It matches the Rfam family "Bacterial small subunit ribosomal RNA", at positions 568 to 898 of the family's 1533-position model. The record is from RNAcentral.